AACGAACGCUGGCGGCAGGCCUAACACACGCAAGUCGAGCGCCCCCUUUAGAGCACAAAGACGGAGACGCGGUGGUUGGAGAGAUCCGAUCGCUGGUUUUGGUUGUUUUUGUUCUUCUGAUGGGGGAGCGGCGGACGGGUGAGUAACGCGUGGGAAUUUUCCUCAAGGUACGGAACAACUCAGGGAAACUUGGGCUAAUACCGUAUGAUGUCUAGCGACCAAAGAUUUAUCGCCUU
RNAcentral lists this ribosomal RNA (236 nucleotides) under uncultured bacterium. RNAcentral's name for it is "partial 16S ribosomal RNA". It matches the Rfam family "Bacterial small subunit ribosomal RNA", at positions 29 to 221 of the family's 1533-position model. The record is from RNAcentral.